Oncorhynchus nerka (sockeye salmon) is the source of this 3445-nucleotide long non-coding RNA. RefSeq lists it as uncharacterized. NCBI's taxonomy places the organism in Eukaryota, Metazoa, Chordata, Actinopteri, Salmoniformes, Salmonidae. The transcript is spliced from 5 exons. The record is from RefSeq and is a predicted model, not a curated record.
CAGUCUCCCUCAAGCAGUGGCAGAGAGCAACAUCUCUGUCUCUGCCCAUCAACAACUGGACACACUCUGGACUUGUGGAAUGGUGUGCGUCCACAAAGUGAGUGUGUAACAUGUAUAUAAUUAUUGCUUGUUGUUCUUUAUAGUACUACUAUUGCCUAUUGUAUGUUUCUCCUCUGUGUUUACUGUGUUGUGUAAUACUCUUGCACUAAGUUAUCAACGUGAGGGGAUUUAGUCUUUUUCUCACCAAACCUUUUGCCUAAAUCCAAUGACGGGGUGAAUGUUUUGUUUGAUUUCAAAUUGAAUUCACAUUAGUUCACAACUCAACCAAAUGUAAAUCAAAACCAGGUGUUGAACUGACGUCUGUGCCCAGUGGGAGUCCUGUCCUGGAAAACAAACACGUUGCAGGAAUGCCAUAAAGGUUGAAUCUAUUUUUUUUACAGAAUCAUGAGGCGAGGAGAUAGGACGGAAGGAAUCAAGGAAAUACAAUUGAGAUUCACACUUUUUGGGAUAGGGGGCAGCACUUUCACUUUUGGAUGAAUAGCGUGCCCAGAGUGAACUGCCUCCUACUCUGUCCCAGAUGCUAAUAUAUGCAUAUUAUUAUUACUAUUGGAUAGAAAACACUCUGAGGUUUCUAAAACUGUUUGAAUGAUGUCUGUGAGUAUAACAGAACUCAUAUGGCAGGCGAAAACCUGAGAAAAAUCCAACCAGGAAGUGGGACAUCUGAGGUUUGUAGUUUUUCAAAGCUUGGCCUACCGAAUACACAUUGAGAUAUGGAUAAAAUUGCACUUCCUAUGGCUUCCACUAGAUGUCAACCAUCUUUUGAAACUUGAAUAAGGAUUCUACUAUAAAGGAGGAGCUCAUGAGACCUCUUUGAGUCAGUGGUCUGGCAGAGAGCCUUGGUCUCAUGACGCGCGCUCCCGACAGAGUUAUCUCGCGUUCCAGUGCUUCUCUGAAGACAAAGGAAUUCUCUGGUUGGAACAUUAUUGAUGUUUUAUGUUAAAAACAUCCUAACGAUUGAUUCCAUACAUCGUUUGACAUGUUUCUAAAGGACUGUAACAGAACUUUUCGAGUUUUUGUCUGGAUGAAGUGCCUGCGCCUCAUGAAGAUGUAUUACUGGGCUGAACACGCUAACAACAAGUGGCUAUUUGGACAUAAAUGAUUGAACUUUAUGGAACAAAUCAGUCAUUUAUUGUCGAACUAGAAUUCCUGGGAGUGCCUUCUGAUGAAGAUCAUCAAAGGUAAGUGAAUAUUUAUGGUGUUGUUUCUAACUUUGUUGAUUCCAAAAUGGCGGCUAUUCCUCUGGCUGUUUUGGGUUCUGAGCGCUGUUCUCAGAUUAUGCUUUUUCCGUAAAGUUUUUUUGAAAUCUGACACAGCGGUUACAUUAAGGAGAAGUCUGUCUUUAAUUCUGUGAAUAACACUAGUAUCUUUUAUCAAUGUUUAUUAGGAGUAUUUCUGCAAAAUCCCCAGAUGUUUUGGAAUCAAAACAUUACUGCACGUAAGGCGCUAAUGUAAACUGAGAUUUUUGGAUAUAAAUAUGCACAUUAUCAAACAAAACAUACAUGUAUUGUGUAACAUGAUGUCCUAUGAGUGUCAUCUGAUGAAGAUCAUCAAAGGUUAGCGAUUAACUUAUAUAUUUCUGCUAUUUCUGCUUUUUGUGACUCCAAUCCGGUGAUCUGGCGGUGAUCUAACAUAAUCAUAUGUUGUGCUUUAGCUGUAAAGCAUUUUUGAAAUAGGACACGAUGGGUAGAUUAACAAGGUGUUUAUCUUUCAUUUGCUGUAUUGGACUUGUUAAUGUGUGAAAGUUACAUAUUUCCCCAAAAUAUUUUUUAAUUUCGCGCUCUGCCUUUUCAGCGGAAUGUUGCGCUAGAAAGUUUAAGUGGAUAUAACCCACAUCCUAUCUAGUGAAGGGAUUAAACCAAGGCCUCAUACCUUUUAAAGGGUUAAUAAAGUGUUAUGAUAAACUGUUAAGGUCUCCUCUCAGGAUACCUUUCUGUGUGUGUUAAAACCUGUUUUGAGUGAUAUGCCCUGCAGACACUAUCAGAAGGCGGAAACUGCCUACGCUCACACUCCUCCUGUCUGGGUCCCACCGUGACUGUCUGAGGUUCUGAGAAUACGACUGGUUUUCUGAGAACACAAGGCCACCGCAGGCUUGAUGGAAACCGCCACCUGGCAGAGGAUGCUUAGACUUAUCUAUUGUGAAAUGUCAAUGGGGAGGCAGGAUGUCUUAGACACCUUGCAGAACUUGGAGAGAACUGUCAUCUACUGUACUCUGUAUCAACUUCUGCCAUGCAAUUGUAUUACUAAAGGAGAAUCAUAAUACUUAAACAAAGAGUCCAUUUCCUUUCUACUACCAAUAUAUAAGUUUGAUAAUUAUAUAGACCUGCUCAUCUGUUGAAGAAAUUGACCAACACUAGUCAAAUAAUUAAAGAAAAAUUGUUAAAUUUACAGAUGUUUUCUUUCAUUAUUCUAGGCAUAAAUCAUGUUUCUGACAUGGAUUGUUAACCGAUCUACAUUUCAAAACAUCAUUUCCAAGAACUCCAUAAUUCUCCAUAUCCCAGAGACGAUGGACCUAAACACAGAGGAUCUCCUUAUAGAUCUGCCAACCAGGUUCGGUGGGUGACAGGUAAGUGUUUCCACCAAGCUGUUCAAUGCCUGGAGUGGCACGCUGGAACUUCCAUAGGCUUGUAGACCUGAAGCAGUGUGAUUUGGUACAGGUAAGUAUCACACACACAUAUACACACACUCAAUCACUUACUCAGUUUUGUUGUAAUAAUUAUUUUAACUUAAGAAAAUUGUUCCUCUCUCUUUUAGCUCAACCACAGUCUUCACAGCUGGAGUCGUGUGCCCUGCAACUGCUAAACUGGCCAUGAAAGGUGAUACAGAUCUGCCACCAGGUUUUCAGCUGCAGUCACAGUAGUCCUCUGCUGUGUUAUUUAAUUUACCGGCUGCACCAGUUCUUACUACACUGGCCACGGUGAGGAAUACCCAGAUGGAUACAGAUCUGCCAUGCACUCCACCACUGCCCGACAGCCUCACCCAGAAGAGAAUUACACUGGGCCUAUGGAGACUGACAAAGCAGAGAUGGGUGGCUAACUAGAAAAAAUAAAACGUAUACACUUUCUCACACACAUUUGAUUUUGAUUAGUAUGUAAAUAUAUUGUGAUUACUUGUUUUAUAUGUAUGCUCCAUUUGAUUAUGAUUGGAAAUAUUUAGUCCUACAGAUUGUGUUAUCCAUUUCCCACAAAGGACAUGUGCAGUUGUGCUUACUCACAGUUGGUGGAAAAGUAAGGAGAGAUGGUGGCUGACAAGGAAAAAUAAAAUACAAUAUGUGCACACACACUCCCUCUCUCCCUCUCCCACACAAUCUGUGUGCUUUUGUCUGAGCUACAAAACAUGACUCAUUAUUUGAGGAAAAUAUAUGCAGUAAAGUACAUUCACAGUUAAA